UGCAAGGUAGUUUAGUAAAAAAAAGAACGAUGGGUUGUGAUCCUAUAAGGGGUGAAGCCUCUUGCGC
RNAcentral lists this transfer RNA (67 nucleotides) under Margaritifera margaritifera (freshwater pearlshell mussel). RNAcentral's name for it is "tRNA-His". The record is from RNAcentral. Lineage: Eukaryota; Metazoa; Mollusca; Bivalvia; Unionida; Margaritiferidae.